AAAAAUGGGGCGAGCGAGCGAAAUUUAAAUUUAUAUUUUUAAAUUCUUCGCCUCAAAUUUUGAAGAAAUAUGGAGCGAGCGAUAUUUUUUUUUCUCUCAAUUUUUAUAUCUUUUACCUAAAAGAAGCAACUGAAUUUUCAACUCACUUAAUUGAAAGGGGACAUAUUUUGAUAUAAUUAAAUUAUCUCCCUUUUUAUAUGUAUUUCAACUUUCUGCAUUCUUUUUCAUUUUGUUUUGUUGUUUGUAUAAUUAACACUGCACAAAUAUACACUUUUGAACAUAUUUUUUUAUGCAUGAACUUUAUAUGGCUAUCUGCUUUUAAUAUGCACUGCUUUCAUCUGUAGUAUAUGCACCUUCUGGUCCUUAGACACCCUCUGUAGUUGCUAUGCUAGCUUCUUGUAACAUAACUGCAUGGUGUGUGUUUUGUGUUUAUGCAUAUGGAUCACUAACCAGUCAAUCCAAGCACAGUGGAAACUGGGGGUUCUAGCUAGUGCUACUUUACAAUUAAAUAUCAGAAAAUAAAUUACACCAAAACAUACCAACAUGGAAAUACCUACAUAACCUACAUUUAUAAGCCUAUGUUAUAACUAAGAUUUCAACCAGAUGCAUCAUGGAGUCUAUAAUCCUGCAAUAGAAAUGCAUUUUUUUUCAUUUACAAAACAUCCUGUGUUAAACAAGUUAACUUUCAAUUUCACCCA
Molecule: long non-coding RNA, 698 nt
Filed under: Mytilus galloprovincialis (Mediterranean mussel)
Lineage: Eukaryota; Metazoa; Mollusca; Bivalvia; Mytilida; Mytilidae
Source: RNAcentral